Molecule: small RNA, 114 nt
Filed under: Serratia marcescens
Lineage: Bacteria; Pseudomonadati; Pseudomonadota; Gammaproteobacteria; Enterobacterales; Yersiniaceae
Also listed under: 2 other names
Description: RtT sRNA
Rfam family: RtT RNA
About the family: This family represents a bacterial cis-regulatory element known as RtT RNA.
Source: RNAcentral
AUUGCUCCGCAUUGGGGAAGGAUGAGAAGCUUCGACCAAGGUUCGAGUCUCACGCAGUGAGACAACGCGCUUCAGUGAGGCGCGCAGCGACGAAUCAUCCUUCCCCCACCACCA